Molecule: ribosomal RNA, 484 nt
Filed under: uncultured bacterium
Lineage: Bacteria
Description: partial 16S ribosomal RNA
Rfam family: Bacterial small subunit ribosomal RNA
Source: RNAcentral
AUUGAACGCUGGCGGCAGGCCUAACACAUGCAAGUCGAGCGGAUGAAGGGAGCUUGCUCCUGGAUUCAGCGGCGGACGGGUGAGUAAUGCCUAGGAAUCUGCCUGGUAGUGGGGGAUAACGUCCGGAAACGGGCGCUAAUACCGCAUACGUCCUGAGGGAGAAAGUGGGGGAUCUUCGGACCUCACGCUAUCAGAUGAGCCUAGGUCGGAUUAGCUAGUUGGUGGGGUAAAGGCCUACCAAGGCGACGAUCCGUAACUGGUCUGAGAGGAUGAUCAGUCACACUGGAACUGAGACACGGUCCAGACUCCUACGGGAGGCAGCAGUGGGGAAUAUUGGACAAUGGGCGAAAGCCUGAUCCAGCCAUGCCGCGGGUGUGAAGAAGGUCUUCGGAUUGUAAAGCACUUUAAGUUGGGAGGAAGGGCAGUAAGUUAAUACCUUGCUGUUUUGACGGUACCAACAGAAUAAGCACCGGCUAACUUCGUG